GGUUGUGUGUCCGAGUGGUCUAAGGAGUGUGAUUCGAAUAAUCUAAUCAUCACAUCCUCUUUGAGGGCGCAGGUUCGAAUCCUGCCGCAAUCG
This is a transfer RNA of Microbotryum lychnidis-dioicae p1A1 Lamole, 93 nucleotides long. It matches the Rfam family "tRNA". From Rfam's summary of the family: Transfer RNA (tRNA) molecules are approximately 80 nucleotides in length. Their secondary structure includes four short double-helical elements and three loops (D, anti-codon, and T loops). Lineage: Eukaryota; Fungi; Basidiomycota; Microbotryomycetes; Microbotryales; Microbotryaceae. The record is from Rfam.